Molecule: non-coding RNA, 383 nt
Organism: Misgurnus anguillicaudatus (oriental weatherfish)
Lineage: Eukaryota; Metazoa; Chordata; Actinopteri; Cypriniformes; Cobitidae
Source: RefSeq, a predicted model, not a curated record
UGGAUUUUAUCAACCUCAAACCAGAAGAAGUCUGGAACGGCAAACAAAGUUGGGUAUCUGACCUCUCAACUUGGGACAGAUCGAUCAACACCGAUCAUUUGACAUUGCAGACAAGCAUUUAGGAUGAACGACCCGGAUCUGCUAAGAUGCACAGAUUCAACUCUGACCCAGCAUCAUCCCCACAUCUCAUCUGUCAUCAGUUUCGUUUAAUGUUUGUCGAUUGCAAAUGCUAUUUUAUUUUAGUUCAAUAACAACUUAAUAUAAACUUUAAUUGAGACUUUUAUUGUGUAAAACAGGGCUUUUCAUUUCACAACAUAUUAGACAGCUCUGUUGCAGGGCGGUUAAAACACUGAAUGGUAAAUUAAAGUCGCAUUUAAGUCUUG